This 253-nucleotide ribosomal RNA is filed under the name uncultured bacterium. RNAcentral's name for it is "partial 16S ribosomal RNA". It matches the Rfam family "Bacterial small subunit ribosomal RNA", at positions 524 to 776 of the family's 1533-position model. The record is from RNAcentral.
GACGAACCGUGCGAACGUUGUUCGGAUUCACUGGGCUUAAAGGGCGCGUAGGCGGCUUGUCAAGUCAGGGGUGAAAUCUUUCGGCUUAACCGGAAAACAGCCCCUGAUACUGAUAGGCUAGAGGGAGGUAGGGGCAUGUGGAACUCCAGGUGGAGCGGUGAAAUGCGCAGAUAUCAGGAGGAACACCGAUGGCGAAGGCAGGUCUCUGGGCAUUAACUGACGCUGAGGAGCGAAAGCAUGGGGAGCGAACAGG